AUGACCGUAAAAGAGAAGUCACUUACCCCUUUGUGUGGUUGGGAGGCCGUCUCCUCCGUUCCUCCGUCCCAGUACGCGAACUUUUGCAAACGAGAGGGAGUGACGUCAUCAGGUGUUUCCCAACUGCGCUGUCUAGGCUCCGCCUUGCCCGCAUUCUCCACCACUGUGACGGGACGAGCCAACGACAGACACAGUGGGCGUGGCGUCAGGCCUCGGAGAGGUUUUUAUUUAACAGAAAAACCAAAACAAGGGGGAAUAAAGUGUCCAAAAGGGGAACAGUGUCCAAAACAACAGGGAAUCUGGUGUCCUCGUCGUGCUGCGGGGUUCGUGGGGGUCUGGCAGUGUUCAUGGAGGAAGGGUCCAGGUAAGGGGCGGAGUCCGGCGGCCGCACGCGCUCCCCUCUUCGGUCCGGGGCGCGAGGGGCGGCGGCUUCUUCUAGCGGCUUCAUCCUCCUCGCUGGCCGCGGCGCUUGCAGGGGAUGGACGGCCCGGCAUCCUGGCCCGACGGCCGUGUAGACGGGUGCGGUUCUCGACCGGACCGCGGGUCCGGCAGCUCACGUCUCUGGUGGCGCGGGAGUCCCUCAACGCACCCUUCCUGGACCCACGAGGACACCAGUGUGCAUGCACGGGGAAAGAGACCGGUCUCCCGAGGAGAGGCGCGUUGGGCUUUUAAACAGCGGCGGUGAUGAGGCUCCAUUUCCUUCAGGUGUGCCCCAUCACACGCCGCCAGCCCUGACUCGUCCAGCGCCCCUCCUCUCUCCCACGCCCACUCCUAUCGGGAGCCUGGUGAAGGGCGGCGAUUUAGGACGGGGUGCCGGUGAUUAUCAGGGAGGAGGGAGCUGACUCGUCACAAUAUGAAUGUUUUUUAAUCCGAUUGAGCCAUCAAUCUGAUUACAAACGGAUUAGUCGGGUGCAUGUAAACAUAGCCAAUUUUUGUCAGAAAUCACAUACAGCACCUUUAACCUAUUUUGUGUCUGUGUUGUUAGUCGAUCACACACACCUGAUUAUCAUCGGCUCUGCUCGUUUGCGACGUUAUUUUGCACUGCUCUUGGUAGAUUGUGUUGGUCAUUGUGGAAAUGAUCUGCGUCUGUGUUUUAUAAUUUGCUCAGUAGAUCAGCAGAAUUUUUAUGGGAUUAUAGCGCUCUCAUGCUCACUUGGCCUGUUUUAAUAAAUCUCGCUAAAAAUCAACUAAAACUAAGAAG
This is a long non-coding RNA of Cyprinus carpio (common carp), 1201 nucleotides long. The record is from Ensembl. NCBI's taxonomy places the organism in Eukaryota, Metazoa, Chordata, Actinopteri, Cypriniformes, Cyprinidae.